UAUUGGACAAUGGGCGAAAGCCUGAUCCAGCAAUGCCGCGUGAGUGAUGAAGGCCUUAGGGUUGUAAAGCUCUUUUACCAGGGAUGAUAAUGACAGUACCUGGAGAAUAAGCUCCGGCUAACUCCGUGCCAGCAGCCGCGGUAAUACGGAGGGAGCUAGCGUUGUUCGGAAUUACUGGGCGUAAAGAGUACGUAGGCGGUGAUUCAAGUCAGAGGUGAAAGCCUGGAGCUCAACUCCAGAACUGCCUUUGAAACUAGAUCGCUAGAAUCAUGGAGAGGUUAGUGGAAUUCCGAGUGUAGAGGUGAAAUUCGUAGAUAUUCGGAAGAACACCAGUGGCGAAGGCGACUAACUGGACAUGUAUGACGCUGAGUACGAAA
This 377-nucleotide ribosomal RNA is filed under the name uncultured bacterium. Its description in RNAcentral is "bacterial SSU rRNA". It matches the Rfam family "Bacterial small subunit ribosomal RNA", at positions 362 to 758 of the family's 1533-position model. The record is from RNAcentral.